UGCGCAGGCGGCUUUGCAAGACAGAUGUGAAAUCCCCGGGCUCAACCUGGGAACUGCAUUUGUGACUGCAUGGCUGGAGUGCGGCAGAGGGGGAUGGAAUUCCGCGUGUAGCAGUGAAAUGCGUAGAUAUGCGGAGGAACACCGAUGGCGAAGGCAAUCCCCUGGCCAAAGACUGACGCUCAGGUGCGAAAGCGUGGGGAGCAAACAGGAUUAGAUACCCCCGUA
This 225-nucleotide ribosomal RNA is filed under the name uncultured Methylibium sp. RNAcentral's name for it is "partial 16S ribosomal RNA". It matches the Rfam family "Bacterial small subunit ribosomal RNA", at positions 568 to 792 of the family's 1533-position model. The record is from RNAcentral. Lineage: Bacteria; Pseudomonadati; Pseudomonadota; Betaproteobacteria; Burkholderiales; Sphaerotilaceae.